This 120-nucleotide ribosomal RNA is filed under the name Boleophthalmus pectinirostris (great blue-spotted mudskipper). Lineage: Eukaryota; Metazoa; Chordata; Actinopteri; Gobiiformes; Gobiidae. The record is from RNAcentral.
GCUUACGGCCAUACCACCCUGAACACGCCCGAUCUCGUCUGAUCUCGGAAGCUAAGCAGGGUCGGGCCUGGUUAGUACUUGGAUGGGAGACCGCCUGGGAAUACCAGGUGCUGUAAGCGU